Long non-coding RNA from Phyllostomus discolor (pale spear-nosed bat), 1410 nucleotides. RefSeq lists it as uncharacterized. NCBI's taxonomy places the organism in Eukaryota, Metazoa, Chordata, Mammalia, Chiroptera, Phyllostomidae. The record is from RefSeq and is a predicted model, not a curated record. The transcript has 2 exons.
CAAGUGACGACAGGCUGCGCUUGCGCAGUGGUCGGAGACCGGCCGGGAAGGUUUCGGAGAGCGGGUCGCGCGGAGGGGUUUGUGGGAAAUGUGAGGCGAGAGGCUUGGGCAGCGGGUGGAGAAGGGGUUUCGUAUCAUCGCCAUCUUUGCGGUGGGUUUUGCUGAAGUGGAAAAUCUCUGCUUAUUGCCCUUUUUCAAAAAGCGUGAAUUUCCUCUCCUAAAUUUGCUUACUGCUUUUACACCAAUAAAAGCCCUUGGACCUUCCCGCCUCCCACCGCGAUCUUGCAUAUUACUUUGGAAUUCUUAGUGUGGAAAUUUUCCAUUUUAUUUCAGUUUCCACAAUCUCUUUCUCCUAGGGGAUUUCUUUUUUUGUUUUCUUUACUGAUUCUUCCCUUCCCCCACAACUGCAAUUUUGCUGUGUUUUGCUUGUAAGCUACUUCUCGGAAAUCAAUGCAUUGCUCUCCACUUGAUGAGAAGUUUGGGUGAGCUGCCCCAAGAGCAUUUAAAGGAAAUUAAAAAAGCGAUGACAGUUUGUGCUAAUUCUAAAUUAAUAAGUGCGAGUUCUGGCCCUGGUUACUCUUUCCAUAGUGAAACUAUUAGGUGAGGGCUAACUAAACAGCCCAUACGUAAAUCAAUAUACUGACUUAGAUGAGGUGUAAAUACACGGGACGAAUGUUAAUGAAUUGCAAUUUUGUUUAUUGUCCAUUAAAGCAAGAAAAACACAAAAUUCUCAUGUUAAAGGUAGUGAUGUGUCUGUUUAUGAUCAUUCCCUACACCAUGCCCUGGCCUCAAGAAACGGAAAGAAAGGUGUGCUCACAUGAAAUGGUACAUGCUGACCUUUGACAAAGCUGACAAGCAUUUCCCACCCCCACCCCCCUUGCCUUAACUUCUUAACCUGUUUUUCAGGAAAUUCAGUUUUUGUUUGGAAAUGUUGACUCAUUACUGUGUUAAAAGAUAACAAAUUGUCUCAUCACCACGUGUUAAGAAUUCCCUCCUUUCAGAAGAGAACUGCAGCACCACUUCUGGUUUCCAUAAGUGACGAGCCUGUUUCUGGACUCCAUGUCAUUCUGUUGGUUGAUUUAUGUAUUUAUAUUCUCCCUCCAAUACAUCUAAGUACAUCCUUCAAUACUAUCUUAGCACGGCCUAUGAUAAAUUUUGAUACCUGCUAGUAUCACAUCUUAUUCUUAUUUGUUUUUUUCUGAGAUUUGGCUAUCCCAUAUGGAUUUCAAAUUCCUUGAAAACCUCAUUGGGAUUUUCAUAAGUCUUGCACUGAAUUCAUAGAUUAAUUGCCAUAUAUAUGUAUAUAUCCUAUAUUAAGGAUAUUGAGUCCUUCCAUUCUUGAACAUGGCAUAUCUCCAUUUAUUUAGGUCUUCUUCAAUGAAUUUCAAUAAAAUAUUGUAGUUUUCUUCA